UAAAUAGCCCGGCUGGCUUCGGCUGGUCGCUGGCUUCUUAGAGGGACUAUCGGCUUAAGCCGAUGGAAGUUUGAGGCAAUAACAGGUCUGUGAUGCCCUUAGAUAUCCUGGGCUGCACGCGCGCUACACUGACAGAGUCAACGAGUUUCCUCCCUUGGCCGGAAGGUCUGG
RNAcentral lists this ribosomal RNA (171 nucleotides) under Scolecobasidium sp. Its description in RNAcentral is "partial small subunit ribosomal RNA". It matches the Rfam family "Eukaryotic small subunit ribosomal RNA", at positions 1352 to 1545 of the family's 1831-position model. Lineage: Eukaryota; Fungi; Ascomycota; Dothideomycetes; Venturiales; Sympoventuriaceae. The record is from RNAcentral.